This 253-nucleotide ribosomal RNA is filed under the name uncultured bacterium. RNAcentral's name for it is "partial 16S ribosomal RNA". It matches the Rfam family "Bacterial small subunit ribosomal RNA", at positions 524 to 776 of the family's 1533-position model. The record is from RNAcentral.
UACGUAGGGGGCGAGCGUUGUCCGGAUUUACUGGGCGUAAAGAGCGCGCAGGCGGCUGGUCAAGUCCGAUGUGAAGGCUCCCGGCUUAACUGGGAAAUUGCAUCGGAAACUGAUCGGCUGGAAGGUGGGAGAGGGUAGCGGAAUUCCCGGUGUAGUGGUGAAAUGCGUAGAUAUCGGGAGGAACACCAGUGGCGAAAGCGGCUACCUGGCCCAUUCUUGACGCUGAGGCGCGAAAGCUAGGGGAGCAAACGGG